UCAUUAGGCGCGUGGUUUCGGGGGUGCUACCGUAAAGGUGCAUGAGUGGUGUUUGGUGUGUUACGGGKGGUUGGCUCUUUGCUUGCGCAACAACUUCCACCUGGCAUACCUCUUCAUUUUUGUUUCAAUGCUUGUGUUGCAUUGAUUGCACGAAGGGUUUCCUGUGUUGCADGCCUAAGCGAUGGUAUCGUUUGACGGAUCUGUGAAUAUCUUUGUCCUGUGUUGCACCUGCGAUACGAGAWGAACCUAAUAGCAGGCUUUGUGAUCCAAUCUUUCUUUGCUCACGCAUCGAUUUUGUGGCUCAWDGAGWRUUUGCUUGGUCUCAUGGAUAUGGAACUUUUUGUGGGCAUGUGAUCUUUUGCUAGUUCAUUGUUUGCCCHCGUUAAGCUUCAUYAAAUACGAUUUCCUGUCAUGUGUUAACAUGGUAGGAUACAYCG
This 437-nucleotide unclassified non-coding RNA is filed under the name Waitzia fitzgibbonii. RNAcentral describes it as "Leucochrysum fitzgibbonii partial external transcribed spacer". Lineage: Eukaryota; Viridiplantae; Streptophyta; Magnoliopsida; Asterales; Asteraceae. The record is from RNAcentral.